UUGGAGGGCAAGUCUGGUGCCAGCAGCCGCGGUAAUUCCAGCUCCAAUAGCGUAUAUUAAAGUUGUUGCAGUUAAAAAGCUCGUAGUUGAAUUUCGGGAUCAAUUUGUCGGUCGCGCCUCGGUACGUACUGGCAUUAUUGGUUUCUACCUUCUGAAGAACCUUGAUGUCAUUAAUUUGGUGUCUUGGGGAAUCAGGACUGUUACUUUGAAAAAAUUAGAGUGUUUAAAGCAGGC
RNAcentral lists this ribosomal RNA (234 nucleotides) under uncultured fungus. Its description in RNAcentral is "partial 18S ribosomal RNA". It matches the Rfam family "Eukaryotic small subunit ribosomal RNA", at positions 548 to 785 of the family's 1831-position model. The record is from RNAcentral. Lineage: Eukaryota; Fungi.